UGGGGAAUAUUGGACAAUGGGCGAAAGCCUGAUCCAGCCAUGCCGCGUGUGUGAAGAAGGUCUUCGGAUUGUAAAGCACUUUAAGUUGGGAGGAAGGGCAUUAACCUAAUACGUUAGUGUUUUGACGUUACCGACAGAAUAAGCACCGGCUAACUCUGUGCCAGCAGCCGCGGUAAUACAGAGGGUGCAAGCGUUAAUCGGAAUUACUGGGCGUAAAGCGCGCGUAGGUGGUUUGUUAAGUUGGAUGUGAAAUCGCCGGGCUCAGCCUGGGAACUGAAUUCAAGACUGACUGACUAGUGUAUGGUAGAUGGUGGUGGAAUUUCCUGUGUAGCGGUGAAAUGCGUGGAUAUAGGAAGGAACACCAUUGGCGAAGGCGACCACCUGGACUAAUACUGACACUGAGGUGCGAAAGCGUGGGGAGCAAACA
Molecule: ribosomal RNA, 427 nt
Filed under: uncultured bacterium
Lineage: Bacteria
Description: partial 16S ribosomal RNA
Rfam family: Bacterial small subunit ribosomal RNA
Source: RNAcentral